AGAGUUUGAUCCUGGCUCAGAUUGAACGCUGGCGGCAUGCCUUACACAUGCAAGUCGAACGGUAACGCGGGGGCAACCCUGGCGACGAGUGGCGAACGGGUGAGUAAUACAUCGGAACAUAUCCAGUAGCGGGGGAUAACCUAUCGAAAGAUGGACUAAUACCGCAUACGAUCUACGGAUGAAAGCAGGGGACCGCAAGGCCUUGCACUAUUGGAGUGGCCGAUGUCGGAUUAGCUAGUUGGUGGGGUAAAAGUCUACCAAGGCGACGAUCCGUAGCUGGUCUGAGAGGACGAUCAGCCACACUGGAACUGAGACACGGUCCAGACUCCUACGGGAGGCAGCAGUGGGGAAUUUUGGACAAUGGGCGCAAGCCUGAUCCAGCCAUGCCGCGUGAGUGAAGAAGGCCUUCGGGUUGUAAAGCUCUUUCGGUGAAGACGAAACGGUUCAUGCUAAUAACGUGAACUAAUGACGGUACUCACAGAAGAAGCACCGGCUAACUACGUGCCAGCAGCCGCGGUAAUACGUAGGGUGCAGGCGUUAAUCGGAAUUACUGGGCGUAAAGCGUGCGCAGGCGGUUUGCUAAGACAGGUGUGAAAUCCCCGGGCUUAACCUGGGAAUUGCGCUUGUAACUGGCAAGCUAGUGUGUGGCAGAGGGGGGUGGAAUUCCACGUGUAGCAGUGAAAUGCGUAGAUAUGUGGAGGAACACCGAUGGCGAAGGCAGCCCCCUGGGUUAACACUGACGCUCAUGCACGAAAGCGUGGGGAGCAAACAGGAUUAGAUACCCUGGUAGUCCACGCCCUAAACUAUGUCAACUAGUUGUCGGGGAAGAAAUUCCUUGGUAACGAAGCUAACGCGUGAAGUUGACCGCCUGGGGAGUACGGCCGCAAGGUUAAAACUCAAAGGAAUUGACGGGGACCCGCACAAGCGGUGGAUUAUGUGGAUUAAUUCGAUGCAACGCGAAAAACCUUACCUACCCUUGACAUGCUAGGAAGCCCGCAGAGAUGUGGUGUGCCCGAAAGGGAACCUAGACACAGGUGCUGCAUGGCUGUCGUCAGCUCGUGUCGUGAGAUGUUGGGUUAAGUCCCGCAACGAGCGCAACCCUUGCCAUUAGUUGCUACAUUCAGUUGGGCACUCUAAUGGGACCGCCGGUGACAAACCGGAGGAAGGUGGGGAUGACGUCAAGUCCUCAUGGCCCUUAUGGGUAGGGCUUCACACGUAAUACAAUGGUCGGUACAGAGGGCUGCCAACCCGCAAGGGGGAGCUAAUCCCAGAAAGCCGAUCGUAGUCCGGAUUGUAGUCUGCAACUCGACUGCAUGAAGCCGGAAUCGCUAGUAAUCGCGGAUCAGCAUGUCGCGGUGAAUACGUUCCCGGGUCUUGUACACACCGCCCGUCACACCAUGGGAGUGGGUUCCACCAGAAGUAGUUAGCCUAACCGCCAGGAGGGCGAUUACCACGGUGAGAUUCAUGACUGGGGUGAAGUCGUAACAAGGUA
This 1492-nucleotide ribosomal RNA is filed under the name metagenome. Its description in RNAcentral is "bacterial SSU rRNA". It matches the Rfam family "Bacterial small subunit ribosomal RNA". The record is from RNAcentral.